CAGUAGCCGCGGUAAUACGUAGGGUGCGAGCGUUAAUCGGAAUUACUGAGCGUAAAGCGUGCGCAGGCGGUUUUGUAAGACAGGCGUGAAAUCCCCGGGCUCAACCUGGGAAUGGCGCUUGUGACUGCAAAGCUAGAGUGCGGCAGAGGGGGAUGGAAUUCCGCGUGUAGCAGUGAAAUGCGUAGAUAUGCGGAGGAACACCGAUGGCGAAGGCAAUCCCCUGGGCCUGCACUGACGCUCAUGCACGAAAGCGUGGGGAGCAAACAGGAUUAGAUACCCGCGUAGUCCCUGUCUCUUAUAC
Molecule: ribosomal RNA, 301 nt
Filed under: uncultured bacterium
Lineage: Bacteria
Description: partial 16S ribosomal RNA
Rfam family: Bacterial small subunit ribosomal RNA
Source: RNAcentral